UACCUAGAGGGUUUCUGUCGAUCAAGGGCGAGAGUAGGAGUAUCCAACAGGAUUAGAGACCCUGGUAGUUCCUACCUUAAACGAUGCCGACAGGAGUUUGUCAUUUGUUAAUGGCAGAAUCUUUGGAGAAAUCAUAGUUCUUGGGCUCUGGGGGAACUACGACCGCAAGGCUGAAACUUGAAGGAAUUGACGGAAGGGCACACCAGGGGUGGAGCCUGUGGCUUAAUUUGAAUCAACACGGGGAAACUUACCAGGACCAGAUGUUUUUUAUGACUGACAGGCUUCGGGUCUUUCAGGAUAUUGUUUUUGGUGGUGCAUGGCCGUUGGUGGUGCGUGGGUUGACCUGUCUAGCGUUGAUUCAGCUAACGAGCGAGAUUAUCGCCAAUUAUUUACUUUGCCGAAGUCCUUCGGUUAAAGUUCUAAUUGGGACUCCCUGCGAUUUUAGCAGGUGGAAGAGGGUAGCAAUAACAGGUCCGUGAUGCCCUUUAGAUGCUCUGGGCUGCACGCGUGCUACAAUGUUAGGAUCAAUAGGACUGCGAGCCUGAGAGGGUGCGCUACUCUUAUAAUCCCUAACGUAGUUGGGAUUGACGUUUGUAAUCAGCGUCAUGAACCAGGAAUCCCUUGUAAAUGUGUGUCAACAACGCACGUUGAAUACGUCCCUGCCCUUUGUACACACCGCCCGUCGCUCCUACCGAUUGGAUGACUCGGUGAAAUCACCGGAUGCUUACGAGCAGAAAGUGAUUAAAUCACGUUAUCUAGAGGAAGGAGAAGUCGUAACAAGGUAACGGUAGGUGAACCUGCCGUUGGAUCAGUU
This 814-nucleotide non-coding RNA is filed under the name Trichomonas vaginalis G3. RNAcentral's name for it is "Eukaryotic small subunit ribosomal RNA". It matches the Rfam family "Eukaryotic small subunit ribosomal RNA", at positions 956 to 1831 of the family's 1831-position model. Lineage: Eukaryota; Parabasalia; Trichomonadida; Trichomonadidae. The record is from Rfam by way of RNAcentral.